UGCCCAUGAAGAAACAGCUCAGUGUUGC
Molecule: non-coding RNA, 28 nt
Filed under: Homo sapiens (human)
Lineage: Eukaryota; Metazoa; Chordata; Mammalia; Primates; Hominidae
Source: RNAcentral